UGGGGAAUAUUGGACAAUGGGGGCAACCCUGAUCCAGCAAUGCCGCGUGUGUGAAGAAGGUCUUCGGAUUGUAAAGCACUUUCGACGGGGACGAUGAUGACGGUACCCGUAGAAGAAGCCCCGGCUAACUUCGUGCCAGCAGCCGCGGUAAUACGAAGGGGGCUAGCGUUGCUCGGAAUGACUGGGCGUAAAGGGCGUGUAGGCGGUUUACACAGUCAGAUGUGAAAUCCCCGGGCUUAACCUGGGAGCUGCAUUUGAUACGUGUAGACUAGAGUGUGAGAGAGGGUUGUGGAAUUCCCAGUGUAGAGGUGAAAUUCGUAGAUAUUGGGAAGAACACCGGUGGCGAAGGCGGCAACCUGGCUCAUGACUGACGCUGAGGCGCGAAAGCGUGGGGAGCAAACAGGUUAGAU
RNAcentral lists this ribosomal RNA (410 nucleotides) under uncultured bacterium. RNAcentral describes it as "partial 16S ribosomal RNA". It matches the Rfam family "Bacterial small subunit ribosomal RNA", at positions 355 to 783 of the family's 1533-position model. The record is from RNAcentral.